Long non-coding RNA from Asparagus officinalis (garden asparagus), 814 nucleotides. RefSeq lists it as uncharacterized. The transcript has 2 exons. The record is from RefSeq and is a predicted model, not a curated record. Lineage: Eukaryota; Viridiplantae; Streptophyta; Magnoliopsida; Asparagales; Asparagaceae.
UCUGUGUCUUUUCUAUAUCAAUACUAUACUUAUAAAAGAGAAUAUCCAUGUCAAAACUUUUGAUUGCCAUUUUUGUUCUUCAAUCAAAAUUUUAAACAUGACAAUACUUCUUUUUAAAUUAAAUUAAAUUAAAAUUAAGAAUAAUUAAAUAUUCUUUAUGUGCAACUACCCUCAAACAACCGUUUAUGUUCCAUUGACCAAAAAAUAAUAACAAAAAAAAAAGCUUGUAUUCCACCCCUUCAUUGCCUCCUUUUAAUUAAGGCCAUUAUUACAUGUUUUAGUCAUUCAGUUACUCGUCAAAGAUCAAAUUAUUACUUCAGGAGCAUGUAAGGGAGGAGAAUAUCAAGAGAAAUAAGAGAUUUCUUUCUCUACAUUUGAUACUUCUUUUUUGACUUAUAAUCUGAUGAUUCAUUUGUUGGUCUUUGUAAGGUGUUGGUGGUGAAGAAUGAAGAGGACGCGAAUGAGGAGGUGAUUGUGACCAAGGGCAACGCCACUGUGGGUCCCUCAAUUGAAUCUAAUCAGCUGGCACAAGGACCUUUAUCGUGAAUGUACCUAAGAUGAAGAAUACAACUCUAUAAGAAUAAGGAUGCUUGCCUAAAGUCGCUUUGUAUAAGAAGGAAAAUAAUAUUCUUUCAAUUGAUGGUAAAUUGUGCCAUGGCUAGAAGCAUGCAAUUAUGUUGAAAAGCAUGUUUUUGACAAGAAGGUAUCUCAGUUUCAUAUUCUUAUGUAAUACAAUAAUUAAAAAUAUAGAAUAUUCAUGUCUCUGUAUCUUAUAUCAUUUUAUUAUGUUUGCUAGCUAAGUCUUGAUGUUUCA